UACGGAGGGCGCAAGCGUUGUUCGGAAUCACUGGGCGUAAAGCGCGUGUAGGCGGCUUGGCAAGUCGGGUGUGAAAGCCCGGGGCCUAACCCCGGAACUGCACUCGAAACUGCCUCGCUCGAGUCUCGGAGAGGGUGGUGGAAUUCCCGGUGUAGUGGUGAAAUACGUAGAUAUCGGGAGGAACACCAGCGGCGAAGGCGGCCACCUGGACGAUGACUGACGCUGAGACGCGAAAGCGUGGGGAGCAAAC
RNAcentral lists this ribosomal RNA (250 nucleotides) under uncultured bacterium. RNAcentral's name for it is "partial 16S ribosomal RNA". It matches the Rfam family "Bacterial small subunit ribosomal RNA", at positions 524 to 773 of the family's 1533-position model. The record is from RNAcentral.